Molecule: ribosomal RNA, 251 nt
Filed under: uncultured prokaryote
Description: partial 16S rRNA
Rfam family: Bacterial small subunit ribosomal RNA
Source: RNAcentral
ACGUAGGAGGCAAACGUUAUCCGGAUUUACUGGGCGUAAAGCGCGUGUAGGUGGUUCUGUAAGUAGGGCGUGAAAGCUCCUGGCUCAACUGGGAGAGGCCGUUCUAAACUGCAGAGCUAGAGGAUGGUAGAGGGAGGUGGAAUUCCGGGUGUAGCGGGGGAAUGCGCAGAUAGACGGAGGAACACGAGUGGCGAAGGCGGCCUCCGGGACUAUUCCUGACACUCAGACGCGAAAGCGAGGGUAGCAAACGG